GGACCCAUCAUAGCCAGCCCUACCAGAACCAGCCCCACUGGUACCACCAGCCCCAUAGCCAUCCCUACCAGAACCAGCCCUAUUGGUACCACCAGCCCCAUAACCAGCCCUACCAGAACCAGCCCUACCAGAACCAGCCCCACUGGAACCACUGGACCCAUCAUAGCCAGCCCUACCAGAACCAGCCCUACUGGUACCACCAGCCCCAUAGCCAGCCCUACCAGCACCAGCCCCAUAACCAGCUCUACCAGAACCAGCCCCACUGGUACCACCAGCCCCAUAACCAGCCCUACAGGAACCAGCCCCAUAGCCAGCCCUACUGGUACCACCAGCCCCAGAACCAGCCCCACUGGUACCACCAUCCCCAUAGCCAGCCCUACCAGAACCAGCCCCAUAGCCAGCCCUACCAGCACCA
This 415-nucleotide long non-coding RNA is filed under the name Coturnix japonica (Japanese quail). RNAcentral describes it as "lncRNA (ENSCJPG00005006751.1)". Lineage: Eukaryota; Metazoa; Chordata; Aves; Galliformes; Phasianidae. The record is from RNAcentral.